UACGUAGGGGGCGAGCGUUGUCCGGAGUUACUGGGCGUAAAGCGCACGCAGGCGGUUGGGCAAGGCUGUGGUGACAGCUGCUCGCUUAACGAGCAGAGUGCCGCAGCGACUGCCCGACUUGAGGGCCAGAGAGGGACAUGGAACUCCGGGUGGAGUGGUGAAAUGCGUAGAGAUCCGGAAGAACACCAAAGGCGAAGGCAGUGUCCUGGCUGGUACCUGACGCUCAGGUGCGAAAGCGAGGGGAGCGAACGGGG
Molecule: ribosomal RNA, 254 nt
Filed under: uncultured bacterium
Lineage: Bacteria
Description: partial 16S ribosomal RNA
Rfam family: Bacterial small subunit ribosomal RNA
Source: RNAcentral